AUGUGCAGGACAUUCUCAUUCAUUGGCAUUUCCAGCACUGUGAAAUUGCAGUGGAAGCAGAAUUAGCCCAGUGACGUUUACACUGAUAAUCCAGUGAAAAGUGCUGCUAAUUUUACAGCAUUAAGGACAUGAGGCUGCAAAGCACCAGUAAGAGAAGAUGACUAUGAAAUCUCUGGAGAUGGGAAUCCCAUGGAUUCAGGGCCUUGUUUCUGUAGCUGCUCCAAGUCAGACUACUCAAAGUGAACCAGGAUUGGAACAGCAGCGUCCAGCACCCUGCAGGAUCAGACACUGAACCAUCUGGAACAUCCACCUCCAAACCUGGAGCUGCAAACCCACUCCUGCAGCCAGCAACCCUGCAAGUCCAGCAGGAAACCCCAGCCAGAGCCCAGCAGAGCCAGGAGGCCCUGAAUCCACUGCACAUUCCCAGCCUGGACGUGUGGAACACCAGCCAGUGUCACCACAGGCACCUGGGGGACACUGAACAGUUUCAGAGACACCACAGGAAGCUGCCACAGGAGCCUGAGCCCAGCAUGCACAAGUGAAGACAGCCCUUGGGAAGUGCCAUGAAUCCCAUAUGGAUUUAAGGAAGCCAAGUCUUCAGCAGACCUGCACAGAACCAAAUGGAUCAGUUUCCUCAGCUCCCCCGUGAAGCCCAGCCUCAGCCACGAAGGGCUGUUCCCACAUGAAGGAACUCACGUGGAAAGCCGAGUGCACUUGCAUCGCCCCUGGAUUGGUAUGGGAAGUGCCUGGGGCAUCUCUUGUCCAUGUGGAACCCACAGGAUGGAUUUUCCAGGAUCUCAGCAACCACAAUUGGCACCAGCUUUUUCAAACAGUUCGGCUCCCUCAGACAUCACAGAAUCCCAGAAUGGUUUGGGUUGGGAGGGACCUUAAAGCCCAUCCAUUCCCACACCUGCCAUGGGCAGGGACACCUCCCACUGUCCCAGGCUGCUCCAAGCCCCAGUGUCCAACCUGGCCUUGGGCACUGCCAGGGAUCCAGGGGCAGCCCCAGCUGCUCUGGGCACCUUGUGCCAGGGCCUGCCCACCCUCCCAGGGAGGGAUUCCUUCCCAAUAUCCCAUCUAAAUGUACCUCUUGAAUUUGUUUGAAGACAUGGGAGCCGACUCUCAUUGACUAAUUAGAGGUUAUAGAUGAUUAAUGGUUGACUUUCUCCCUAGUGCC
This is a long non-coding RNA of Vidua chalybeata, 1177 nucleotides long. RefSeq lists it as uncharacterized. The record is from RefSeq and is a predicted model, not a curated record. Lineage: Eukaryota; Metazoa; Chordata; Aves; Passeriformes; Viduidae. The transcript is spliced from 5 exons.